CUGCUAGGUAUUUUGGGCCAUUUGAGGUGUUGGGAAAAAUUGGAGCUGUUGGUUAUAAAUUAAAGCUGCCUAAUUCUUCAAAAAUACAUCCGGUCUUUCAUGUUUCACAACUCAAAAGAGCCAUUAGAGAUCAUCCAGUCAUAUCAGAUCUGCCUGUCAAUAUAAAGGAAGGAAAGGGGCCUAUGGUGGAACCAGAAACAAUAUUUCAUAGACGUCAGAUCAAUCGUAAUCACCAGAUUGUGUCACAAGUAUCAGUUUGUUGGAAAGGGCAAUCCAUGGACAAGGCAACUUGGGCGGAUGAAUUUGAUAUUAGCAGUCAAUUUCCUCAUUUCAACCUUGAGGACAACGCUAAUUCUCAACAGGGCGGUAAUGAUAGAGAUGCUAAUGUUGCAGGCCCUGUUGCUAUUGUUUCCACAGGCUCAAG
Molecule: unclassified non-coding RNA, 424 nt
Filed under: Hevea brasiliensis (rubber tree)
Lineage: Eukaryota; Viridiplantae; Streptophyta; Magnoliopsida; Malpighiales; Euphorbiaceae
Source: RNAcentral